AUUAGCCAUGCAUGUCUCAGUGCAUGCCGAAUUAAGGUGAAACCGCGAAUGGCUCAUUAAAUCAGUUAUGGUUCAUUAGAUUGUACCCACAUUUACUUGGAUAACUGUGGUAAUUCUAGAGCUAAUACAUGCAAAACAGAGUCCCGACCAGUGAUGGAAGGGACGCUUUUAUUAGAUCAAAACCAAUCGGUGGCGGGCGGUCCUCCGUCCGUCCACCGUUUAUUUUGGUGACUCUGAAUAACUUUGUGCUGAUCGCACGGUCCUAGCACCGGCGACGCAUCUUUCAAAUGUCUGCCUUAUCAACUGUCGAUGGUAGGUUCUGCGCCUACCAUGGUUGUAACGGGUAACGGGGAAUCAGGGUUCGAUUCCGGAGAGGGAGCCUGAGAAACGGCUACCACAUCCAAGGAAGGCAGCAGGCGCGCAAAUUACCCACUCCCGGCACGGGGAGGUAGUGACGAAAAAUAACGAUACGGGACUCAUCCGAGGCCCCGUAAUCGGAAUGAGUACACUUUAAAUCCUUUAACGAGGAUCCAUUGGAGGGCAAGUCUGGUGCCAGCAGCCGCGGUAAUUCCAGCUCCAAUAGCGUAUAUUAAAGUUGUUGCGGUUAAAAAGCUCGUAGUUGAAUCUGUGUCGCACACCGUCGGUUCACCGCUCGCGGUGUUUAACUGGCGUGAUGUGGGACGUCCUACCGGUGGGCUUAGCCCCGCGAGGGGCGGCCCAACUAAUAUCCCGUCGCGGUGCUCUUUACUGAGUGUCGAGUCGGGCCGGUACGUUUACUUUGAACAAAUUAGAGUGCUUAAAGCAGGCUAUCCUCGCCUGAAUACUGCGUGCAUGGAAUAAUGGAAUAGGACCUCGGUUCUAUUUUGUUGGUUUUCGGAACCCCGAGGUAAUGAUUAAUAGGGACAGAUGGGGGCAUUCGUAUUGCGACGUUAGAGGUGAAAUUCUUGGAUCGUCGCAAGACGGACAGAAGCGAAAGCAUUUGCCCAAAAAAUGUUUUCAUUAAUCAAGAACGA
Molecule: ribosomal RNA, 1013 nt
Filed under: Pheidole fervida
Lineage: Eukaryota; Metazoa; Arthropoda; Insecta; Hymenoptera; Formicidae
Description: SSU rRNA
Rfam family: Eukaryotic small subunit ribosomal RNA
Source: RNAcentral